GAGUUUGAUCCUGGCUCAGGAUGAACGCUGGCGGCGUGCUUAACACAUGCAAGUCGAACGAAGCACUUUAUUUGAUUUCCUUCGGGACUGAUUAUUUUGUGACUGAGUGGCGGACGGGUGAGUAACGCGUGGGUAACCUGCCUUGUACAGGGGGAUAACAGUUGGAAACGGCUGCUAAUACCGCAUAAGCGCACAGCAUCGCAUGAUGCAGUGUGAAAAACUCCGGUGGUAUAAGAUGGACCCGCGUUGGAUUAGCUAGUUGGUGAGGUAACGGCCCACCAAGGCGACGAUCCAUAGCCGACCUGAGAGGGUGACCGGCCACAUUGGAACUGAGACACGGUCCAAACUCCUACGGGAGGCAGCAGUGGGGAAUAUUGCACAAUGGGCGAAAGCCUGAUGCAGCAACGCCGCGUGAGCGAUGAAGGCCUUCGGGUCGUAAAGCUCUGUCCUCAAGGAAGAUAAUGACGGUACUUGAGGAGGAAGCCCCGGCUAACUACGUGCCAGCCGCCGCGGUAAUAC
This 519-nucleotide ribosomal RNA is filed under the name uncultured bacterium. RNAcentral's name for it is "bacterial SSU rRNA". It matches the Rfam family "Bacterial small subunit ribosomal RNA", at positions 9 to 526 of the family's 1533-position model. The record is from RNAcentral.